UUGACCUCAGAUCAGGUAGGACUACCCGCUGAACUUAAGCAUAUCAAUAAGCGGAGGAAAUCGACCGCCCCCA
RNAcentral lists this ribosomal RNA (73 nucleotides) under uncultured Atheliaceae. RNAcentral's name for it is "partial 28S ribosomal RNA". The record is from RNAcentral. Lineage: Eukaryota; Fungi; Basidiomycota; Agaricomycetes; Atheliales; Atheliaceae.